GACUAAUCUAGACUAAUCAAUUCUCUAGCUCGACCAGAGUUGAUGCGGCCGUAAGCUUCGGCGACUUCGAGCUCAGGCAGCGGAGAGAGUAAACCACCUGGGUAGCGACUAAGCUUCGGCGACUUCGAGCUCGACCAGGUAGCGACUUCGAGCGGAGAGAGAGUGAGAGUGAGAGGCGGAGAGAGAGAGAGUGAGGCGAGAGCGAGAGAGUGUAUCGGUUUCUGGUUUCGAUAGGCUGCUGAGAUGGUGAGAUGGUGAGAGCAAAAAGGAGGGAGAAUGACCUAAUUUCUUUCAAGAAACGGAGGAAAGUUUUUGGCUUCGAUACGAC
Molecule: long non-coding RNA, 328 nt
Filed under: Rosa chinensis
Lineage: Eukaryota; Viridiplantae; Streptophyta; Magnoliopsida; Rosales; Rosaceae
Description: sRNA RchiOBHm_Chr1g0316341
Source: RNAcentral